AUGAAAAUUUUAAAUGGCCGCAGUACCCUGACUGUGCUAAGGUAGCAUAAUCAAUUGGCCUUUAAUUGAGGUCUAGAAUGAAUGGAUCAAUACGGAAGUGAUCUGUCUCCUUCAGAGUCUGUUGAAGUUAUCUUUAAAGGUGAAAAGGCCUUUAGUACGAAAAUAGACGAGAAGACCCUAAGAGUUUUAAUUAUAAGUAAAGGCUUUUACUUUUUUUUUUUGCUGGGGCGGCAAAGAAACAAUUAACUUUCUUGCUUGUGUUUAUGAAGUCGACGCGAAAUUUUAUGAAGAACCAAUAAACUACCUUAGGGAUAACAGCAUAAUUAUUUUAAUGUUUGUGACCUCGAUGUUGGACUAGGAAAGCUUUAUGGCUAGCCGCCGAAAGUGUUAUGUUCUGUUCGAACGCU
RNAcentral lists this ribosomal RNA (407 nucleotides) under Wallaconchis graniferus. Its description in RNAcentral is "partial 16S ribosomal RNA". It matches the Rfam family "Archaeal large subunit ribosomal RNA", at positions 1989 to 2658 of the family's 2987-position model. The record is from RNAcentral. Lineage: Eukaryota; Metazoa; Mollusca; Gastropoda; Systellommatophora; Onchidiidae.